GACACACUCUUGAGGAGGGAUGUGCGGGGCCGACUCCGUGCCUUUCUCUUCUCUCCUUUUCCAGAAGGCUCUGCCAGCCUCUGGCCCACCUCUCUGGUCCACAUCAUGCAUUUGAGCACCUGAGGGGGUGCCUCUCUCCAAAGUGCAUUACUAAGGCCUGUGGUUAAUUUUUCAGCAGCUGCUUGCCUCGCUAAUGGUCUGGGAAACCAACCGGGCCUCCACCCCUGCCUGGAGAGCCAGUCACAUUCUGAGGUAAACGGUGCUUGGGAAGAAAUGCCAGGGCUCCAAGGUUGAUGGGAAAAGGAAACUGGCUUUCUGGCCCUGGAGACUUUCCACUGUCACAAGUGCCAUCAGGAUGCCCGGCUCCUGCCACUUUUGCUAUUCCUUCUGCCAGCACCACAGCGGCCCCCUUGGGGGUUCACCGCGCUGUGCCUGGCCAGGCCCCAGGCCAGAGACCAGGGUGGAGUAUGUGGGUCUCUGAGCCCAUUGGCCUGUGACCCCCGUAAAGAGAUCACCCUUGCUUUUUAGGCCGCCAUCAUUAUGGGCAAGAAAACCACCCGGGGUGUGGUCUAGGCCUGGACAUGGCUGACUUAAGAAAAGAGGAACAAAUACCCUGGAAGCCGACACAAACUUCAAGUACCGGCCUUCAAGGUGCGCUGGCGGUCUUGUGUGCAGACCCUUACAGAGCACCUGCCAAGCGCCGAGCAGGAAAUGGAGGGGUGGCCCGGGACCGGCAUGCUAAGUGGGCCUGGGGCCCACGAACACACACAGCAGGGCCUUUAACUACCAGGGGGCACAGCAUUGGAGAUGGCAGCGGUGAGGAGAGAGCAUGGAGUCAGAAUCGGGCAGCCCUGGACUGAAUUCUGGUCCCGUCACCUCCAGCCGGGCCAGGGAGAAAUCCACCACGUUGUCCAAACCUCGCUGUCCUUUCCUACAGAAUGAGGACACUGGCCCAAACCAGACCAUCUGUGCCUGGCAUCUUCCAGUCUGGUGUCCCCUCAGCACCCCUGGUGCCUUUCCUGCACAGUGGGGCCUAGGCACGUGGGGAAGAGGGGGGGUGCAGUUCAUAGUUGCUGGUCUCCUGUCUAAGCCUGUUGAAAAGAGGGACCGUGCAGAGCAGAGGGAAGGUGGUGGGCCUCUCCCUGUGAAGUCCUGGGAGGCCUUAGGCAAAGUCAAAAGUGACAGGAGCACCCCAUCCCCCACCAGCCGCCAUCCCAGGGGCACCCAGCCUAAGGCCAGCUUUACGUGCAUACUAUUUGCAUAAAUUUGCAUAAAGACAGUAUUCGGGUGUCUUCUAGGCAAUUAUUCACUCCUGGCAUCUCUGCACUCCAGGAAAGGGUGCUAGCAGAGAUGUGGCCCUGUGGGCUUUGUGUCAAAAGGGCACCGAGAGCCCCAGCCCCAUUCCACCCCUACCUCCCCAGCCCCUGCGCAAAACAUCUCCCUUGGGCCCGCACUUCCCCUCCCCCUCACCUGCCGCCCCUGAAUCCUUUGGGGGCUACUGUCUACUGUCCAGUUUCCUGGGGAAGGCAGGCUUACACCUCCACACCUCCCCUCUCUUCAGCAGCCCUAA
This is a long non-coding RNA of Herpailurus yagouaroundi (jaguarundi), 1570 nucleotides long. RefSeq lists it as uncharacterized. The transcript is spliced from 3 exons. Lineage: Eukaryota; Metazoa; Chordata; Mammalia; Carnivora; Felidae. The record is from RefSeq and is a predicted model, not a curated record.